CUAAAUUUUUUUCUAAGAACAUAAUAUCAAACAUAUUGUAUCUUACCAUCUAUUCAAGAAAUAGCUUUAAAGAAUCUUCAUCUUGAUUAUGUCAUCUUGAAAUUUAUGCCAAUUAUAAUAUAACAUUUAAUGAAUCAGCAAACAAUAGUUCUUGAAUUGAAUAUGUUGAUUGUUGAUUUUCCAUCUCUUGAGUACCAUAAACACACAAAAAGUAUAAAUAAGAAGUAGAAUGUAACCUUUCUUGAAUCACAUUUUUUUAAUAGUAAAGAUUUUUUAUUCUUCAUCUUAAUUUUGAUAGGUGUUAUCAUUAAAAAGCAUCAACUUU
RNAcentral lists this long non-coding RNA (325 nucleotides) under Physcomitrium patens. RNAcentral's name for it is "long non-coding RNA (PPAT_LNC014390)". Lineage: Eukaryota; Viridiplantae; Streptophyta; Bryopsida; Funariales; Funariaceae. The record is from RNAcentral.